Molecule: long non-coding RNA, 598 nt
Filed under: Bos taurus (domestic cattle)
Lineage: Eukaryota; Metazoa; Chordata; Mammalia; Artiodactyla; Bovidae
Description: long non-coding RNA NONBTAT016473
Source: RNAcentral
AGGUUUCCUCAUGCCCUUUAGUUUAAAUUUUACUCGAAACAAAGAGACAUCACAUAUUUUUCUUUAGAUAUUCAGGUUCCUGCCUUCUGCCCAAGCCCCUCCUCACCAUCCCACCUAAGGAAGGGGAGUUACAGCUGUGAUCCACUGGGGUCACAGGCAGAGAAUCUGUAUUGCUAGGUGGUACCAUUUCCUUGAGCUGUUUGAAGACUUCAGAACCCUGAAUGUCUUAGGACUGUUUAAAAUGGAAGUUGCAAAGAAGGAGUGAAGAGACCAAAAAGAAAGAAGCACAAGAGAUGCACUUAUAUUUAUAGAAUCUAAUGACACCAGCGAUGGUGUGAGUACUGAGAACUCCUAAUUAUAACUAGAGAGGCUGUUAGAAGGCUCGAAUGUUCUGAGUCUGUUUCUUCUGAGGCAAAGAGAGCUAUUGUUCACCUCUCCGAGAGUCAGCCGCUCCCAUAGGUGAGUAGGUUGUCAUUAAGUAUAGUUAAAUGACAGUUUACUAAAUGCAUUCUGCUACCUAAAGCAGUCCUGCUUUGCAGUGACCCUCUGUGUCAGCAGGGUGAGCUGUCCCACACUGAUUAAAUGGUGCUCUGGCUGG